UGUGCUAGUUGAAGAUUGUCUGCGAUGCAAACUCGCUAUAAGUUUUUGCACUCAACUUUGUUCUUUCUUCAGGUGUCCAUCAUAACCCCGAGACUUACAAGCGCAGCCACCAACGAUGCUUGAAUUGCAGAUGCAGAUUCAACGACGUCUUGAUCGUUCGUGGAAUGGGGUUCCCGACUCUAGAACCAUACCAUUCUGACCGGUUCUUGUUGAAACCAAUAAAUGGGGUGCAAAUGCCGAUGCAGCCAGAAAGGAAGAAGUCGACGACCACAUUUUUCGGUGCUGUUGUCAGUUCUGAUUUUGGCAAGGAUGCGUGGUUGACUGUUCUUUCGGAAGUUUCACGGUGUG
This is a non-coding RNA of Nelumbo nucifera (sacred lotus), 348 nucleotides long. Lineage: Eukaryota; Viridiplantae; Streptophyta; Magnoliopsida; Proteales; Nelumbonaceae. The record is from RefSeq and is a predicted model, not a curated record.